UGUCAGCCUGCUUGGAUCACCUCAUCGAGCAAGUGCUUACUUCAGUCGGCCUGUUUUCACAGCCACUGCAUUCUACUUGUGUGCAAAAAGACACAAGCUUAAAGUAGACAAGAUUAAGCUUAUUGAGCUCUAUGGCACAUCAGAAUCUGAAUUUACUAGUGUAAGACAUGCUCCUGUUAGCAUUUUCUUUAUUUCUACUUUGUAGCAUUUUUUUUUAUU
Long non-coding RNA from Magnolia sinica, 219 nucleotides. RefSeq lists it as uncharacterized. The transcript has 3 exons. NCBI's taxonomy places the organism in Eukaryota, Viridiplantae, Streptophyta, Magnoliopsida, Magnoliales, Magnoliaceae. The record is from RefSeq and is a predicted model, not a curated record.